UAGUGCCUACGGGGGGCAGCAGUGAGGGAUAUUGGUCAAUGGGGGAAACCCUGAACCAGCAACGCCGCGUGAGGGAAGGCGGUUUUCGGAUUGUAAACCUCUGUCCUCUGUGAAGAUGAUGACGGUAGCAGAGGAGGAAGCUCCGGCUAACUACGUGCCAGCAGCCGCGGUAAUACGUAGGGAGCGAGCGUUGUCCGGAUUUACUGGGUGUAAAGGGAGUGUAGGCGGCCCUGCAAGUCAGAAGUGAAAU
Molecule: ribosomal RNA, 250 nt
Filed under: uncultured bacterium
Lineage: Bacteria
Description: partial 16S ribosomal RNA
Rfam family: Bacterial small subunit ribosomal RNA
Source: RNAcentral